Molecule: ribosomal RNA, 836 nt
Filed under: uncultured bacterium
Lineage: Bacteria
Description: bacterial SSU rRNA
Rfam family: Bacterial small subunit ribosomal RNA
Source: RNAcentral
AGAGUUUGAUCAUGGCUCAGAUUGAACGCUGGCGGCAUGCCUUACACAUGCAAGUCGAACGGCAGCAUGAUCUAGCUUGCUAGAUUGAUGGCGAGUGGCGAACGGGUGAGUAAUACAUCGGAACGUGCCCUGUAGUGGGGGAUAACUAGUCGAAAGAUUAGCUAAUACCGCAUACGACCUGAGGGUGAAAGUGGGGGACCGCAAGGCCUCAUGCUAUAGGAGCGGCCGAUGUCUGAUUAGCUAGUUGGUGAGGUAAAGGCUCACCAAGGCGACGAUCAGUAGCUGGUCUGAGAGGACGAUCAGCCACACUGGGACUGAGACACGGCCCAGACUCCUACGGGAGGCAGCAGUGGGGAAUUUUGGACAAUGGGCGGAAGCCUGAUCCAGCAGUGCCGCGUGUGUGAAGAAGGCCUUCGGGUUGUAAAGCACUUUUGUCCGGAAAGAAAUGGCUCUGGUUAAUACCUGGGGUCGAUGACGGUACCGGAAGAAUAAGGACCGGCUAACUACGUGCCAGCAGCCGCGGUAAUACGUAGGGUCCAAGCGUUAAUCGGAAUUACUGGGCGUAAAGCGUGCGCAGGCGGUUGUGCAAGACCGAUGUGAAAUCCCCGAGCUUAACUUGGGAAUUGCAUUGGUGACUGCACGGCUAGAGUGUGUCAGAGGGGGGUAGAAUUCCACGUGUAGCAGUGAAAUGCGUAGAGAUGUGGAGGAAUACCGAUGGCGAAGGCAGCCCCCUGGGAUAACACUGACGCUCAUGCACGAAAGCGUGGGGAGCAAACAGGAUUAGAUACCCUGGUAGUCCACGCCCUAAACGAUGUCAACUAGUUGUUGGGGAUUCA